UAUUCUCUAAGGCCAAGCACUAACCAGCGAAGGAAUAACAAAAAUUCAUCAUGUAUUUGAAGUUGAACCAAUUCUAAUUCCAAUUCCAAUUCCAAUUCCAAUGUGGUGUCAUAUACAGCUGAAAGAUUCUUCACCUACAUUUAUACCAAGAAACCAUUAUUAAGGGAGCCAAAGUUGUAUUUAUGACUACGUUUGGAGGACAUUGGGUUAUCGAGAUAAUGGUAUUAUGAGAUAUGUUGGUGAGGACGAAAAAAUAAUAAUGGUUGACACAAGACCUAUUUUCAAAAGGAUUGAUUGAGAAAAUAUGUUAUCGUCUAAGAAUCAACCGAAGGCAAUCAAUGUUUGUAUAUAUACGAACAAUAAUUUGGUGGUGCUUGGAAACCUGUAUGAGCUCCAAGAUGGUGAGGAUGUUGAAUUUCUAAUGAUGGCAGUUGGAAAAAAAUUCAACCUGUCUUUAUGUCAUAGAGAGUCAAAUUGAAGAAAGAUCGAUAAAGAGCAAGUUGAGGAAGAACAGUUGCAAGAUGAUUCAAUAUAUGAUUAGACACAACUACAAAGUAUCCCAGAGGAUGAAGAAUUAAGUAAUUGCAAUGAUAAUGAUGAUGAAGAGAAUGAAGAUCUUGGGGAAGAAUUUGAUAGGUUUAUGGAUGUUAAUGAGAUAUAUGAUGUACCAAUUGAGGAGCUUGAGUUGCAUGGCAAAGAAGACAUUAAGAGAAGUCUAAGUAAUUUUCAUAGUGUCAAGGGUGAGUCUAGUGCGACACGUCAUAGUUAGGUUGAUCAUAAAGUAUCCCCAGUAAAUAUAAAUGUCCCUAAUCUAUUUUAAUGGGUCCCAUCAACAGCUGUAGAUGUUGAAAACGAGAUAAUUUGUAAUGUUGAAAAAUAACCCGAUGUGAGGAUCAAAUUGAUGGGUUAUUAUAAUGGUAAGAAAGAAUUGCAAAAUCUAUUUGCAAGACUUGCUUUAGAACAAAGUUUUCAAUACAAAGUUUAUUGGUCAAUAAUGAAACAG
Molecule: long non-coding RNA, 1003 nt
Organism: Mangifera indica (mango)
Lineage: Eukaryota; Viridiplantae; Streptophyta; Magnoliopsida; Sapindales; Anacardiaceae
Exons: 2
Source: RefSeq, a predicted model, not a curated record